RNAcentral lists this ribosomal RNA (429 nucleotides) under Chloroflexota bacterium. RNAcentral's name for it is "Chloroflexi bacterium partial 16S ribosomal RNA". It matches the Rfam family "Bacterial small subunit ribosomal RNA", at positions 355 to 776 of the family's 1533-position model. The record is from RNAcentral. Lineage: Bacteria; Bacillati; Chloroflexota.
UGGGGAAUAUUGCACAAUGGGCGCAAGCCUGAUGCAGCCAUGCCGCGUGUGUGAAGAAGGCCUUCGGGUUGUAAAGCACUUUCAGCGGGGAGGAAGGCGUUAAGGUUAAUAACCUUGGCGAUUGACGUUACCCGCAGAAGAAGCACCGGCUAACUCCGUGCCAGCAGCCGCGGUAAUACGGAGGGUGCAAGCGUUAAUCGGAAUUACUGGGCGUAAAGCGCACGCAGGCGGUCUGUCAAGUCGGAUGUGAAAUCCCCGGGCUCAACCUGGGAACUGCAUUCGAAACUGGCAGGCUAGAGUCUUGUAGAGGGGGGUAGAAUUCCAGGUGUAGCGGUGAAAUGCGUAAAGAUCUGGAGGAAUACCGGUAGCGAAGGCGGCCCCCUAGACAAAGACUGACGCUCAGGUGCGAAAGCGUGGGGAGCAAACAGG